RNAcentral lists this ribosomal RNA (186 nucleotides) under uncultured Staphylococcus sp. Its description in RNAcentral is "partial 16S ribosomal RNA". It matches the Rfam family "Bacterial small subunit ribosomal RNA", at positions 154 to 334 of the family's 1533-position model. Lineage: Bacteria; Bacillati; Bacillota; Bacilli; Caryophanales; Staphylococcaceae. The record is from RNAcentral.
GAACCGGAGCUAAUACCGGAUAAUAUGUUGAACCGCAUGGUUCAAUAGUGAAAGAUGGUUUUGCUAUCACUUAUAGAUGGACCCGCGCCGUAUUAGCUAGUUGGUGAGGUAAUGGCUCACCAAGGCAACGAUACGUAGCCGACCUGAGAGGGUGAUCAGCCACACUGGAACUGAGACACGGUCCAG